Molecule: ribosomal RNA, 492 nt
Filed under: uncultured bacterium
Lineage: Bacteria
Description: partial 16S ribosomal RNA
Rfam family: Bacterial small subunit ribosomal RNA
Source: RNAcentral
AGUGAACGCUGGCGGUAGGCCUAACACAUGCAAGUCGAACGGCAGCACUGUAAGAGCUUGCUCUUACGGGUGGCGAGUGGCGGACGGGUGAGGAAUACAUCGGAAUCUACUUUUUCGUGGGGGAUAACGUAGGGAAACUUACGCUAAUACCGCAUACGACCUACGGGUGAAAGCAGGGGAUCUUCGGACCUUGCGCGAUUGAAUGAGCCGAUGUCGGAUUAGCUAGUUGGCGGGGUAAAGGCCCACCAAGGCGACGAUCCGUAGCUGGUCUGAGAGAAUGAUCAGCCACACUGGAACUGAGACACGGUCCAGACUCCUACGGGAGGCAGCAGUGGGGAAUAUUGGACAAUGGGCGCAAGCCUGAUCCAGCCAUACCGCGUGGGUGAAGAAGGCCUUCGGGUUGUAAAGCCCUUUUGUUGGGAAAGAAAAGCAGCAGGUUAAUACCCCGCUGUUCUGACGGUACCCAAAGAAUAAGCACCGGCUAACUUCGUG